Molecule: transfer RNA, 792 nt
Filed under: uncultured Synechococcus sp.
Lineage: Bacteria; Bacillati; Cyanobacteriota; Cyanophyceae; Synechococcales; Synechococcaceae
Description: 16S-23S ribosomal RNA intergenic spacer
Rfam family: tRNA (bases 268-340)
Source: RNAcentral
CAGGGAGACAACACAAUGAUUUUGAUGCCUGAGUGCUUUUAUUCUUAGGUCAAAAUCCUGUCACCUUAGGUCGAUCGGUACCUCAGCUUUGAAGUUAAGGAUCAGCAGUAAUGAUGAUUGCUUGAUGGAGAUUUUCAGUUUCUAAACUUUGUCUAGGUCACACCCCAAAAGGGAUGAGACUCCUGGGCCAUUAGCUCAGGUGGUUAGAGCGCACCCCUGAUAAGGGUGAGGUCCCUGGUUCAAGUCCAGGAUGGCCCAUUCGGUGUUGGGGGUUUAGCUCAGUUGGUAGAGCGCCUGCUUUGCAAGCAGGAUGUCAGGAGUUCGAGUCUCCUAACCUCCACUGACCGAACUUAAUUCCCAUCUCCAAUUUUUUGGAGUUGAGCUCGAUUGGAGUGUGAUUUAGAUGUGUCCGCUGGAUGACCCCAGCUUCCUGUCAUUCCAAGUCUUAGGUUGAAGCCUUGAAUUUGGUUGACAAGAUGCUGGGCUCAGAUUAAAUGAUCAAGCAAUUGAUGAUUUGAUUUGAAGUUCUAGCAGAACCUUGACAACUGCAUAGGUGAGUCUGGGAAAAAACAAAGCAUCUUACAGAUGCAUUGUUUUGAAUCUGAUCUUCUGAAAAGGGAGGGUUAGAUCUAGAACAAUGAAAAUUCUUUUGAGCAAGAGCCGAGACUCUUAAACGUCUUUUGAUUCGUGUCGAGCGAAUCGCGAGUUUGAUCUUUGUUUUUUAUCAAUAAAAAAACCUGAGAAUCUGCUGUUCUAACAGCGGUUAGCGGUUUGUGGAGGGAUGAUAUAUGG